UACGUAGGGGGCAAGCGUUGUCCGGAAUCAUUGGGCGUAAAGAGCGUGUAGGCGGCCCGGUAAGUCCGCUGUGAAAGUCCAGGGCUCAACCCUGGGAUGCCGGUGGAUACUGUCGGGCUCGAGUCCGGAAGAGGCGAGUGGAAUUCCUGGUGUAGCGGUGAAAUGCGCAGAUAUCAGGAGGAACACCAGUGGCGAAGGCGGGACUCUGGGCCGAUACUGACGCUGAGGAGCGAAAGCGUGGGGAGCAAACAGG
RNAcentral lists this ribosomal RNA (253 nucleotides) under uncultured bacterium. RNAcentral's name for it is "partial 16S ribosomal RNA". It matches the Rfam family "Bacterial small subunit ribosomal RNA", at positions 524 to 776 of the family's 1533-position model. The record is from RNAcentral.